GAAUGUCUUUUAGUUUUAUGGAGUAUUACGGCAAAAAAUAAAUAAAAAAUGGGUGUGACUGGAUUGAUUUAUUGAUCUGUCAAAAAAUGUGCUUGAUUUUAGAAACAACCCCAGUUCCCACCUCUGAAGUGACCAGCCUAACCAGCAGCAAAAUAGAUGAAGCAUCACCAUCGGAGGAUACCAGUAAAAAACAGGGACCAGCUGAUGAUGAUCUCAAACAGACCAGUUCAAUCUGGGGAUACGUGAUUCUGUCUUUUAUCAUCGUGAUCAUCAUUGUUUUGAGUCUUAUCCUCUAUUUUAUCAGAAGAGCAUCCAGGUCUUACUCAUUUGAUCGUCCAACUCCUAUGAACAACGGAAAUGAGCCUAUUGGGACCUUUGAACAGGUCUACCUCGACGACUUUGACCGACCAGACCUUAAAGACCUUAAAGAUUUGAUCACCGAUGACACUUCUUCCCUUCCAGUGGCCAACGGUACAAGUCCAAUGUCUGAGGAGAAUGAUUCAGGUGGAGAAAAUGCUCCUCAGCAACAAGCUGAUGAUAAAAGUGUGGGGAGUACAUCCACUAGUGAGACCAGUCAGACUUUGGCUGACAACCAGGACGAAAAGAACCCCAGCCCUCCUGACCAAACCAACCUGUUCUUGGAAGCAGCUGGAGAACAGGAGAACGAAAACAACAACAAUCCAUCCAUUUGCUCCAGUGACCCUUUCGUUGAGAUAAAUCUGGACGAGCCGGCGUGGCGUGACCAGCUCCUCUCACCGUCCCAGACCUCCUCCACCGUCACACCGUUCUCCAUCCUCUCCACCUCCCCCACCUCCACCAUCUCCUCCAUUUCGUUUUCAUAGUACUUGGAAAUUCAACUCUAGAGAAACAAGAAAAUGUUUACUAUGACAGAAGCUUGAAGAUCGGUAUAGCUAUUCCUGACGUACAACUGAACAUUUAUGUAAAUGAUGUGGAAAUUGUAGAUACAUAUGCACACAGUCAAACUUAUUGCUAAUGAAUCAAACUUGCCUGUCUAUUUUUAUCCGUUUCCCGCCUGAUUUCGACUGUUUGCCACGCAAAAAACUUACUACUCUCUUUAGCUACGGUCAAAAUGGUGCACUUCCGGACCAGCCUACCAAAAUAAAUUCCCUGAAAAAAAAAAAACCUUUUUAUGUAAAUAUAAUUAAGCAUACACUUAUAGAUUACAUCCAACUCAUUAUGUAAGCGUUUCCUGUACUUGUUAUUUUUCUAAAUAAAGAGUGAAAGAAC
Molecule: long non-coding RNA, 1248 nt
Filed under: Oryzias javanicus (javanese ricefish)
Lineage: Eukaryota; Metazoa; Chordata; Actinopteri; Beloniformes; Adrianichthyidae
Description: lncRNA (ENSOJAG00000012304.1)
Source: RNAcentral